RNAcentral lists this ribosomal RNA (616 nucleotides) under uncultured fungus. Its description in RNAcentral is "eukaryotic LSU rRNA". The stretch from base 82 to 235 matches the Rfam family "5.8S ribosomal RNA". The record is from RNAcentral. Lineage: Eukaryota; Fungi.
GGUAGGCCCGCCUCGUUUCUUACAAACUCUUGUAUUGUCUUGUAGAAUGCAUUGCCUCUCUGUGGGCGAAAUAGUUAAUACAACUUUCAACAACGGAUCUCUUGGCUCUCGCAUCGAUGAAGAACGCAGCGAAAUGCGAUAAGUAAUGUGAAUUGCAGAAUUCAGUGAAUCAUCGAAUCUUUGAACGCACCUUGCGCUCCUUGGUAUUCCGAGGAGCAUGCCUGUUUGAGUGUCAUGUUAUUCUCAAUCCCUUUGGUUUUUGUGACCGCUGGGCUUGGAUGUGGAGGUUUUUGCUGGCUUCGCGGUCGGCUCCUCUUGAAUGCAUUAGCUGGGCUUACGCUCGAUGCAAUGGUGUAAUACUUUUCUUCACCAGUGUAACUUGCGAUUGGGGCCUGCUUCUAAUCGUCGCAAGACAACCAUAAGGACCCUCGGUCCUUUGACACCUUUGACCUCAAAUCAGGUAGGACUACCCGCUGAACUUAAGCAUAUCAAUAAGCGGAGGAAAAGAAACUAACAAGGAUUCCCCUAGUAACUGCGAGUGAAGCGGGAAAAGCUCAAAUUUAAAAUCUGACGGUUUUGCCGUCCGAGUUGUAAUCUGGAGAAGCGUCUUCCGCGC